Molecule: long non-coding RNA, 380 nt
Filed under: Hordeum vulgare
Lineage: Eukaryota; Viridiplantae; Streptophyta; Magnoliopsida; Poales; Poaceae
Description: long non-coding RNA (HVUL_LNC008927)
Source: RNAcentral
UACAAACCGGACGAUGGGUUAGUCGUUGUUCAUACUCAAAUUCGAACCGGGUACUCAAAUGGGUUAGUCGUUGUUGAUGCUCAAAUUCGAACCGGGUACCAGAACUUUCUGGAGCCAUCCAGGCACCUCGGCGGUGGCGAUUUCGCAACUCAACCAUCUCUCAGGUUCCUGCAGGGAAAAAUGAACCCAUUCUUCAACGCUGGAGCUGGAGGCCAGGUCUAUGGUUUCUCUGCUAUCGUUUGCAGUUAAGUAGUCCUGAGUGAGCUCAUGCUUUCAUUGCAUUGAACGAACGAAAACCACCGUUGCUGCACAUUUAUUCUGCGGACAGGAGCCGGAUUUGUUGGGAUCCUUUCCCUCAACUGGCCGACCUCACAUUUGUC